UUGGGGCCGUGUUAUGCGUGC
Molecule: unclassified non-coding RNA, 21 nt
Filed under: Chlamydomonas reinhardtii
Lineage: Eukaryota; Viridiplantae; Chlorophyta; Chlorophyceae; Chlamydomonadales; Chlamydomonadaceae
Description: small RNA Cre_4007
Source: RNAcentral